RNAcentral lists this ribosomal RNA (395 nucleotides) under uncultured bacterium. RNAcentral's name for it is "bacterial SSU rRNA". It matches the Rfam family "Bacterial small subunit ribosomal RNA", at positions 505 to 898 of the family's 1533-position model. The record is from RNAcentral.
GUGUCAGCAGCCGCGGUAAUACGAAGGGUGCAAGCGUUGUUCGGAUUUAUUGGGCGUAAAGCGCGCGUAGGCGGACCUGCAAGUCAGAUGUGAAAUCUCGGGGCUCAACCCCGAAACUGCGUCUGAAACUACAGGUCUAGAAUCUUGGAGGGGGUAGGGGAAUUUCGCAUGUAGGGGUAAAAUCCGUAGAUAUGCGAAGGAACACCAGAGGCGAAGGCGCCUGCCUGGACAAGUAUUGACGCUGAGGCGCGAAAGCGUGGGGAUCAAACAGGAUUAGAUACCCUGGUAGUCCACGCUGUAAACGAUGAACACUAGAUAUUGAGGGAUUUGACCCCCACAGUGUCGUAGCUAACGCGUUAAGUGUUCCGCCUGGGAAGUACGGUCGCAAGACUAAA